RNAcentral lists this ribosomal RNA (523 nucleotides) under uncultured bacterium. Its description in RNAcentral is "bacterial SSU rRNA". It matches the Rfam family "Bacterial small subunit ribosomal RNA", at positions 355 to 896 of the family's 1533-position model. The record is from RNAcentral.
UGGGGAAUCUUGCACAAUGGAGGAAACCCUGAUGCAGCGACGCCGCGUGAGCGAUGAAGCCCCUCGGGGUGUAAAGCUCUUUCGGCAGGGAAGAUUAUGACGGUACCUGCAAAAGCAGCUGCGGCUAACUACGUGCCAGCAGCCGCGGUAAUACGUAGGCAGCAAGCGUUGUUCGGAGUUACUGGGCGUAAAGGGUGCGUAGGCGGCUUUUUAAGUUUGGUGUGAAAUCUCCCGGCUCAACUGGGAGGGUGCGCCGAAUACUGAGAGGCUAGAGUGUGGGAGAGGAAAGUGGAAUUCCUGGUGUAGCGGUGAAAUGCGUAGAUAUCAGGAGGAACACCGGUGGUGUAAACGGCUUUCUGGACCAUAACUGACGCUGAGGCACGAAAGCGUGGGUAGCAAACAGGAUUAGAUACCCUGGUAGUCCACGCCCUAAACGAUGCAUAUUUGGUGUGGGCCAUUCAUUUGGUCUGUGCCGGAGCUAACGCGUUAAGUAUGCCGCCUGGGGAGUACGGUCGCAAGGCUG